This 253-nucleotide ribosomal RNA is filed under the name uncultured bacterium. RNAcentral's name for it is "partial 16S ribosomal RNA". It matches the Rfam family "Bacterial small subunit ribosomal RNA", at positions 524 to 776 of the family's 1533-position model. The record is from RNAcentral.
UACGGAGGGGACUAGCGUUGUUCGGAAUUACUGGGCGUAAAGCGCGCGUAGGCGGGUUUGCAAGUCGGGGGUGAAAGCCCGAGGCUCAACCUCGGAACUGCCUUCGAUACUGCAAAUCUCGAGUCCGAGAGAGGUGAGUGGAAUUCCUAGUGUAGAGGUGAAAUUCGUAGAUAUUCGCAAGAACACCAGUGGCGAAGGCGGCUCACUGGCCCGGUACUGACGCUGAUGCGCGAAAGCGUGGGGAGCAAACGGG